UUGGGUUAGUGCGGGAGGACAUUAAUAAUUAAUAAUUUUGGCUUGUCCAUUAUUAUCUAUUUACUGUGAACUGUAUUAUUACUUGACGCUUGAGGGAUGCUCCACUGCUAUAAGGAUAGGCGGUGGGGAUGUUAACCGAGUCAUAGUCAAGCUUAGGCUUGGUAUCCUAUUAUUAUUUACCAAAAGAAUUCAGAAUUAAUAUUGUAACAUAGACCUAAAAAAUCUAUAAAACAACUUUUAACAACGGAUCUCUUGGUUCUCGCAUCGAUGAAGAACGUAGCAAAGUGCGAUAACUAGUGUGAAUUGCAUAUUCAGUGAAUCAUCGAGUCUUUGAACGCAACUUGCGCUCAUUGGUAUUCCAAUGAGCACGCCUGUUUCAGUAUCAAAACAAACCCUCUAUCCAGCAUUUUGUUGAAUAGGAAUACUGAGAGUCUCUUGAUCUAUUCUGAUCUCGAACCUCUUGAAAUGUACAAAGGCCUGAUCUUGUUUAAAUGCCUGAACUUUUUUUUAAUAUAAAGAGAAGCUCUUGCGGUAAACUGUGCUGGGGCCUCCCAAAUAAUACUUUUUUUAAAUUUGAUCUGAAAUCAGGCGGGAUUACCCGCUGAACUUAAGCAUAUCAAUAAGGCGGAGGAAAA
Molecule: ribosomal RNA, 635 nt
Rfam family: 5.8S ribosomal RNA (bases 233-385)